RNAcentral lists this ribosomal RNA (497 nucleotides) under uncultured bacterium. RNAcentral describes it as "partial 16S ribosomal RNA". It matches the Rfam family "Bacterial small subunit ribosomal RNA", at positions 28 to 507 of the family's 1533-position model. The record is from RNAcentral.
GAUGAACGCUGGCGGCGUGCCUAAUACAUGCAAGUCGAGCGAACGGACGAGAAGCUUGCUUCUCUGAUGUUAGCGGCGGACGGGUGGGUAACACGUGGAUAACCUACCUAUAAGACUGGGAUAACUUCGGGAAACCGGAGCUAAUACCGGAUAAUAUUUUGAACCGCAUGGUUCAAAAGUGAAAGACGGUCUUGCUGUCACUUAUAGAUGGAUCCGCGCUGCAUUAGCUAGUUGGUAAGGUAACGGCUUACCAAGGCAACGAUGCAUAGCCGACCUGAGAGGGUGAUCGGCCACACUGGAGCUGAGACACGGUCCAGACUCCUACGGGAGGCAGCAGUAGGGAAUCUUCCGCAAUGGGCGAAAGCCUGACGGAGCAACGCCGCGUGAGUGAUGAAGGUCUUCGGAUCGUAAAACUCUGUUAUUAGGGAAGAACAUAUGUGUAAGUAACUGUGCACAUCUUGACGGUACCUAAUCAGAAAGCCACGGCUAACUACGUG